This is a long non-coding RNA of Jatropha curcas, 549 nucleotides long. RefSeq lists it as uncharacterized. The record is from RefSeq and is a predicted model, not a curated record. NCBI's taxonomy places the organism in Eukaryota, Viridiplantae, Streptophyta, Magnoliopsida, Malpighiales, Euphorbiaceae.
UCCUUUUUAAUUUUCUCUCUCUUCCACUCAGCCCUCUAUCCUCGUCCCCCCUCUCUCUCUUCUUUCCUCUAAUAUCUAGCAGAUCCACAGUCAAAGAUCUCAGCUUUAUACAAAAGUAGCCCCGGUUCUCGAACAAAAAGGAAUAAGAAAGCAAAUGGGUGGUGAAGAGAAAGUUUUCACCUUGGCUGAAGUGUUCGAGCACGACAAUCCUAAGGACUAUUGGGUUCUACAGCAUCGAAUGUAUUUGAUAAAGCAGAGGGUAGUGAAGCUUCAUCAAUAGGGGCAACGGCAUCAGCAUCAAAGUAUGAGGACCGGACGAUAAGGAGGACAAGGAUGGUUGUCGGAUUUGUAAGAAUCCAAGAGAUGCAAAGAAUCUUUAUAAUCGAUUGGAUUUGUUAAUUUGGGGAUUUUGCAAGUUUUACUGGAAAAGUUUUGGAUUCAAUUGACUGGUUUCAAAAAUUUUAAAAAUUGAUUAAACAAUAUCUAAUUUUGGAUUUUUGAUGUUCAUUAUUUUCUUGAAGCCACCGAAGAAUCUUUGUUAGUUGUGAA